This 468-nucleotide ribosomal RNA is filed under the name uncultured bacterium. RNAcentral describes it as "bacterial SSU rRNA". It matches the Rfam family "Bacterial small subunit ribosomal RNA", at positions 355 to 825 of the family's 1533-position model. The record is from RNAcentral.
UAAGGAAUAUUGGACAAUGGGCGAAAGCCUGAUCCAGCCAUGCCGCGUGAAGGACGAAGGCGCUCAGCGUUGUAAACUUCUUUUGGAUGGGAACAAUAACUCCGACUUGUCGGAGCUUGAGGGUACCAUCAGAAUAAGCACCGGCUAACUCCGUGCCAGCAGCCGCGGUAAUACGGAGGGUGCAAGCGUUAUCCGGAAUCACUGGGUUUAAAGGGUGCGUAGGCGGCCCAAUAAGUCAGUCGUGAAAUCGCUGGGCUCAACCCAUGCAAUUGCGAUUGAUACUGUUGGACUUGAAUUAGGUUGAGGCUGGCGGAAUGCGACAUGUAGCGGUGAAAUGCUUAGAUAUGUCGCAGAACACCGAUUGCGAAGGCAGCCAGCUGGGCCUCGAUUGACGCUGAGGCACGAAAGCGUGGGGAGCAAACAGGAUUAGAUACCCCCGUAGUCCCUGAGCGGGCUGGCAAGGCGCAU